UACGUAGGGGGCGUGCGUUGUCCGGAAUUAUUGGGCGUAAAGGGUUCGCAGGCGGUUUUUUUAAGUCAGGUGUGAAAGGCAUAGGCUCAACCUGUGUAAGCACUUGAAACUGGAGGACUUGAGUUAAGGAGAGGAAAGUGGAAUUCCUAGUGUAGCGGUGAAAUGCGUAGAUAUUAGGAGGAAUACCAGUGGCGAAGGCGACUUUCUGGACUUAUACUGACGCUGAGGAACGAAAGCGUGGGGAGCAAACAGGAUUAGAUACCCUGGUAGUCCCUGAGCGGGCU
Molecule: ribosomal RNA, 284 nt
Filed under: uncultured prokaryote
Description: partial 16S ribosomal RNA
Rfam family: Bacterial small subunit ribosomal RNA
Source: RNAcentral